AUUGGACGCUGGCGGAAUGCUUUACACAUGCAAGUCGAACGGCAGCACGGACUUCGGUCUGGUGGCGAGUGGCGAACGGGUGAGUAAUGUAUCGGAACGUGCCCAGUCGUGGGGGAUAACGUAGUGAAAAUUACGCUAAUACCGCAUACGAUCUAUGAAUGAAAGCGGGGGAUCGCAAGACCUCGCGCGAUUGGAGCGGCCGAUAUCAGAUUAGGUAGUUGGUGGGGUAAAGGCCCACCAAGCCAACGAUCUGUAGCUGGUCUGAGAGGACGACCAGCCACACUGGAACUGAGACACGGUCCAGACUCCUACGGGAGGCAGCAGUGGGGAAUUUUGGACAAUGGGCGAAAGCCUGAUCCAGCCAUUCCGCGUGCAGGAUGAAGGCCCUCGGGUUGUAAACUGCUUUUGUACAGAACGAAAAGGUUUCUACUAAUACUAGGAGCUCAUGACGGCACUGUAAGAAUAAGCACCGGCUAACUACGUGCCAGCAGCCGCCGUAA
This 500-nucleotide ribosomal RNA is filed under the name uncultured bacterium. RNAcentral describes it as "partial 16S ribosomal RNA". It matches the Rfam family "Bacterial small subunit ribosomal RNA", at positions 30 to 523 of the family's 1533-position model. The record is from RNAcentral.